Non-coding RNA from Paramuricea clavata, 454 nucleotides. NCBI's taxonomy places the organism in Eukaryota, Metazoa, Cnidaria, Anthozoa, Malacalcyonacea, Plexauridae. The record is from the annotation of a GenBank genome assembly.
GUCCCAUUCGUUUUCUUUAAUAAAAUACUAUUAUCAUAACCCCUAUUAAGCGGACACUCCUCUUCAACGGACGCGGACACCUUACUUGAGGUCCCAAUGGGCAAACCAACCUCUCUUAAGCGGACAGAUGACAGAUUAUCUGAUAAAAUGUAUUCAAUAUUCGACAGUAAAUAACAACUGAGAUCAAUUUACAUGGCACAUUGACAGUGACACACCAAUUUGGAGAACUCGCACAAUUUCGAGGUUUGGAAGAACUUUCCAACGCCAUUUUUAUGUAAAUGACAUUAUAAUGGGCUAUCGUCUGCGUGAGCCUCGGCAGCAAAUUUGUAUUGAUUCCUUUUUUAUAUGACUGUGAGAGACGUAUACAUUUUCUAAUGAACUUUUAUGCACAAAUAAAUUUUCAUUUUAUGCUAAUUAUUUCCUAGAUAUUUUUUACUGUUUUGAUACUCUAAUU